CCUGCUCAGUGAACGCUAGCGACAGGCCUAACACAUGCAAGUCGAGGGGUAGCACAGAAUAGCUUGCUAUUUGGGUGACGACCGGCGCACGGGUGAGUAACGCGUAUGCAACCUGCCUAUAAGAGGGGGAUAGCCUUUCGAAAGAAAGAUUAAUACCGCAUAAUACUAUUUACCUGCAUGGGUAGAUAGUUAAACUAAUUGGCUUAUAGAUGGGCAUGCGUUCCAUUAGAUAGUUGGUGAGGUAACGGCUCACCAAGUCAGCGAUGGAUAGGGGUUCUGAGAGGAAGGUCCCCCACACUGGUACUGAGACACGGACCAGACUCCUACGGGAGGCAGCAGUGAGGAAUAUUGGUCAAUGGGCGAGAGCCUGAACCAGCCAAGUCGCGUGAAGGAUGAAGGUCUUAUGGAUUGUAAACUUCUUUUAUAAGGGAAUAAAAAAGAUCACGUGUGGUCUAUUGCAUGUACCUUAUGAAUAAGCAUCGCUAACUCC
This 490-nucleotide ribosomal RNA is filed under the name anaerobic bacterium ANA No.36. Its description in RNAcentral is "bacterial SSU rRNA". It matches the Rfam family "Bacterial small subunit ribosomal RNA", at positions 29 to 504 of the family's 1533-position model. The record is from RNAcentral.